GACAGAGGGUGCAAACGUUGCUCGGAAUUACUGGGCGUAAAGCGCGCGUAGGUGGUUUGUUAAGUUGGAUGUGAAAUCCCCGGGCUCAACCUGGGAACUGCAUUCAAAACUGACAAGCUAGAGUAUGGUAGAGGGUGGUGGAAUUUCCUGUGUAGCGGUGAAAUGCGUAGAUAUAGGAAGGAACACCAGUGGCGAAGGCGACCACCUGGACUGAUACUGACACUGAGGUGCGAAAGCGUGGGGAGCAAACAGG
Molecule: ribosomal RNA, 253 nt
Filed under: uncultured bacterium
Lineage: Bacteria
Description: partial 16S ribosomal RNA
Rfam family: Bacterial small subunit ribosomal RNA
Source: RNAcentral